ACGAAGGGCCCGAGCGUUAAUCGGAUUCACUGGGCUUAAAGAGUGCGUAGGCGGAUGCGUAAGUGUCGGGUGAAAUUCCAUGGCUUAACCAUGGAACGGCAAGGCAUACUGCGCGUCUUGAGGUCGGUAGGGGUUGCCGGAACUCUAGGUGUAGCGGUGAAAUGCGUAGAUAUCUAGGGGAACGCCAAUGGUGAAGACAGGCAACUGGGCCGAUUCUGACGCUGAGGCACGAAAGCGUGGGGAGCAAACAG
This 251-nucleotide ribosomal RNA is filed under the name uncultured prokaryote. RNAcentral describes it as "partial 16S rRNA". It matches the Rfam family "Bacterial small subunit ribosomal RNA", at positions 525 to 775 of the family's 1533-position model. The record is from RNAcentral.